UUCCGCCGGAAGCCCUUCCAGGAGGGAGCGAGAGCCGAGCAACCAACGUCAUGUCUUGAUUUACUACCUUAUAUCAAUACCACACUGCCGCCAUUACCAGUACCUGAUAGGACCCCUAUACCUCUAAGGGCUUCAACUGUGUUGUUCUUCAGUAUUGCCGAACGGAGUGCUGUACUAAGCACAGCUCAGGGACAGGGAUGGAUGAGGCACCAGCUCUGCCUAGUGUCUACUUGGGAAUGGAAACGCCUCCUUCGUGAGCAUGGAGAACUCGUGGAAGCCACACCCCACUGCAGAGAUUCUUCCCCCUUCAGAAUUCAGGUUCUGGGUCUGGGCGCACGCUACUCUGCAGAGACACGUGCUGCCACGUCCUGUCUCAUGAUGGAAGUGG
This 388-nucleotide long non-coding RNA is filed under the name Heterocephalus glaber (naked mole-rat). RNAcentral describes it as "lncRNA (ENSHGLG00100039836.1)". The record is from RNAcentral. Lineage: Eukaryota; Metazoa; Chordata; Mammalia; Rodentia; Bathyergidae.